Long non-coding RNA from Canis lupus familiaris (dog), 1112 nucleotides. RefSeq lists it as uncharacterized. Lineage: Eukaryota; Metazoa; Chordata; Mammalia; Carnivora; Canidae. The transcript has 3 exons. The record is from RefSeq and is a predicted model, not a curated record.
CGGCGGCCCCGCCCCUUGGGUCUCGCCCUCCCACCCCCACCCGCGUCCCACGACGGGAAGAAAACCGAAUGCAGAUCUGAUUGUGAUUUGUCAUCCCACUAACAAGUUAGCACCCACAGCUUAAGAAAACAGUGUGUUGCAGUACCCUUCUAUCUCCAAGGCCCUGUACUUUCCUUAGCGUGAAGUUUGCAAUCAGUAAUUGGUACUGCACCUGUGGGACGCCCAGGUGGCUCAUCAGUUGAGCGAACACCUUCAGCCCAGGGCAUGAUCCUAGAACCCGGGAUUGGGUCCCGCAUCAGGCUCCCUGCAUGGAGCCUGCUUCUCCCUCUGGCUGUGUCUCUGCCUUUCUCUGUGUGUGUUUCUCAUGAAUAAAUAAAUAAAACUCUUUAAAAAAAUUCAGAUACUUACACUGGAUGGUGAAUAGCCAUUGCCCCAGACUGUCUCAAGCAUACCUCUCUGCUCCAGCCCUCCACUGGAACCCACCCCUCCACCUCUCCAUGGUCCAGUGGUUAAAGGGCAAACUAUGACACUCAGGAAGCCUCCAGGACUUAGCUACAGCUAAGACAAGUUGCCCUCAUGUUGGUCAGUGUUUCCUCUACUGGAUCUUAGGUAUUUUACUUAUUCCUCUGGGACCUGGGUAUAGAACAAGCUAGGGCAGAGCUCAAUGAGAUUAUCAAGAGAAAUGGAAAGGUCAAAACCACUGCUUUCUCUGGCAGGUGGAAUGAAGGAGCAACUGGCUACUUAACUUUCUUGCACGGGAGUCAAGAACCUUUCUGUUUUCUUCAUUCUCCUGGGUUCCCCCACCAAGAUGAAAUGUUCACCUAGCCAUUCAUCAGACAUCAUUUCUUGAAUUAAUUUAGCAACUAUUUAUUGAGCACCUAUUAUGUGCCAGGCCCUGUGAUAGGCACUAGGAAACAGUGAAGAAGCAGGCUGAGUCCCUACCCUUCCAGAACUUUGUCUACCUAAUGGGAGAGACAGAGAAGUAAAUAGAUAAUCAUAACUUUAGUAGUGCUGACAUAAGGACAGGGGUGUUAGUACCUAAUCUCUUCCUUUUUUUUUUUUUAAGAUUUUUUUGGGAACCCCUGGCUGGCUCAGCAGUUUAGCACCUGCCU